UACGUGUGGGUCGAGCGUUGUUCGGUGUCACUGGGCUUAAAGGGCGCGUAGGCGGCGCGGAAAGUCGGAUGUGAAAUCCCCUGGCUCAAACAGGGAAGUGCAUCCGAAACUUCCGUGCUCGAGGCCGGAAGAGAGGAGCGGAACUCUUAGUGGAGCGGUGAAAUGCGUAGAUAUUAGGAGGAACGCCGGUGGCGAAAGCGGCUCCUUGGUCCGGACCUGACGCUGAGGCGCGAAAGCUAGGGGAGCGAACGGG
This 253-nucleotide ribosomal RNA is filed under the name uncultured bacterium. Its description in RNAcentral is "partial 16S ribosomal RNA". It matches the Rfam family "Bacterial small subunit ribosomal RNA", at positions 524 to 776 of the family's 1533-position model. The record is from RNAcentral.